AAAGCGCCAGAAGGUAGCAAUCCCCCCUCCUCCUCCGGUAUCUCCAAUUCCGGUGGAAUCUUCUCCUUCUUCUCCAGAAGCCCAGCCACAACAAGCACCAUCUCCCCCACCUAUGCGGGAAGCACCACAGAUAGAAGAACCCCAACAGGAAGGAUCUCAAACAGAAGAUACAUCAGUUGACAUGGGUGAACAAACAACUGGCCCGGUGGGUCUAGUUAUACCAUCGGCAGUUCUCCCGGUUCAAACAACCGUUGUCCCUCCUCCAGGUAACAUACUUUAACAAUAUCGCUACCGAUGAACUUAUUCUUAUUUAGUCUCAUAACUCCUUUUGUCUUCUUUCAGUUGAUAUUGUUCCAUCGGCAAUCUCAGCCGAUCAACCUGUAGCUCCAUCGGCAUCUUUGGCCGAUCAGCCUGCAGCUCCAUCAGCACUUCUCAGUCACAGACAAGAGAUCGCCUUGAAGCAAGUAAGUCACCGUUUACCGUUAGCACUAUUUGCCGAUUUUCUAAGUAUGAGCUAAUUUUGCUUUCCCUCCCAGGAACAAGAUUCUCCCGAUAGCCUGUUCUCCUUCGCCAUCA
This 576-nucleotide long non-coding RNA is filed under the name Sorghum bicolor (sorghum). Its description in RNAcentral is "long non-coding RNA (SBIC_LNC017131)". Lineage: Eukaryota; Viridiplantae; Streptophyta; Magnoliopsida; Poales; Poaceae. The record is from RNAcentral.